Molecule: ribosomal RNA, 305 nt
Filed under: uncultured bacterium
Lineage: Bacteria
Description: partial 16S ribosomal RNA
Rfam family: Bacterial small subunit ribosomal RNA
Source: RNAcentral
ACAGCAGUCGCCACGGGAAUACAGAGGUCCCGAGCGUUGUUCGGAUUCACUGGGCGUAAAGGGUGUGUAGGAGGUUGGAUAAGUCAGGUGUGAAAUCCCGCAGCUCAACUGCGGAACUGCAUUCGAUACUGUUCAACUAGAGGAUCGGAGGGGGGAGCGGAAUUCUUGGUGUAGCGGUGAAAUGCGUAGAUAUCAAGAGGAACACCGGUGGCGAAGGCGGCUUCCUGGAAGAUACCUGACUCUGAAACACGAAAGCCAGGGGAGCGAAUGGGAUUAGAUACCCCCGUAGUCCCUGUCUCUUAUAC